UCUCGCCGUAAACCCUCAUCCGCCGCCGCCGCCGCCGCCGCCACCGCCACCGCGGCGAUCGCCAUGGCCACCUCCGCCGCCGCCCCCCGCGCGCACCGCCUAUCUCGCAUCUUCUCCUCUACUGCUCGGUCCGUGCAGCCACCCAAGGGCAAGCCCACUCCGCCCAAGGAAGCUCCCGCUGCCGUCGCCGGGGCGGAAUCCAUCCCUCGCCGGAAGGAACGGAAGGACCGAAAGGACCUCAACAACAUCGUCAAGGGCCUCUUGCUGGAGCGCAACCCGGACAAGCUGGUGUCCGGGUUCAUCGCUGCCUCGUCCAAGCAUCCGCGCUUCCGCAGCCGGCACCGCGUGUACGGCGUGGCUGUGUCCCGCCUCGCGAAAUUCGGCCGCCACGACGGCGUCGAGGCCAUCAUCGACGCGCAGAAGCCCUUCCUGGAGACCUCUACGGAGGGCUUUGCCGCGCGCCUCAUUCGUCUGUACGGCCACGCAUCCAUGGUUUCCCACGCCGCUGCGACGUUCCAUGACCUCCCUCCGCAGCAUAAAUCCACCAUGACCUUCAACGCUCUCCUCUCAAGCUAUGCCGAGGCUGGAGAGUUCGACGCGCUUGCUGCCGCAUUCAAAGAGAUCCCGGCCUCCAACCCAUCGGUUGUGCCCAGCGUGCAUUCCUAUAACAUAAUCCUUCACGCGCUGUGCAAUAAGCCCGACCUCUCGGCGGCACUUGAUACUGUGGCACUCAUGGAGAAGUGCGGUGUUUUACCCGAUCUGAUCACUUUCAACACGCUGUUGAAUGGAUUUUACAACCAUGGCCGCUUGGAUGGCGCCGGGAAAGUCUGGGAGAUGAUGAAGGAGAGGAAUAUUGUGCCGGACGUAAAGAGCUAUAAUGCAAAACUGCGAGGUCUUGUUGCGGAAGGGAGGAUCGAAGAUGCAGUUGCACUUCUUGAAACAAUGGAGAAGGAUGGGCCGAGGCCUGACACAGUAUCCUACAAUGAGUUGAUUCGAGCGUAUUGCAAAGAUGGGAGGUUAGAGGAGGCCAAGAAUCUUUAUGAAGAUUUGGCAAAAAAUGCUUGUGCUUCAAAUAGGGGGACAUAUCAUGCCCUCAUGCCAUGUGUUGUGAAGGCUGGAGAGCUCGAUUACGCUUUGAAGUGCUGUUAUGAGAUAUUUAGUAAAAAAUGUAGAGUGGAUUGUUUUGUGCUGCAAGAGGUAGUGAAUGCGUUGGUCACGGCAUCAAGGAUGGAGGAUGCUGCCAAGGUUGUUGAGCUUGGAUGGAAGAACAACUAUCCACGGAGGAUCUUGAAGAUGCCGUGUGCUGUUGAAGGUGAUAAAGUCCUAGAGGAAACAGAUGGGGAAGACUCGACACCAGAAGAGCAAGAGGAGCAUGAAAAUCCUUGACAAGGAUGACCCUCCUUGUGCUUUGCCCUGAUCUGUCGUAACAAUGUGCUGCAGGAUGGUUCUGCUAGGUUUUGAGAUGAUCCUGAAAAUGUUUCCAAGAGUUCUAUUUGAUAGAAAUCAAGUAUGCAUGCAAAUGAGAAAUUUCUGGUUAACACGCUGGAUAAAAUCAAUAAAAAGAUGGUCGUUUAUCGUUUUGCUACUACUCUUCUGGUGCUGACCCUGAAACUAUCUCUGAUAAAAAUGAGAUUUUUGGCGUGUCUUUUGUCUCUCCCUUUAUUCUGAAAGACUACAAAAACUUCUCGGCUAUGUUAUCAUUCAGGCCUUCCACAGGUGGGGUUUUCUGUAAGCUUGUUUAUCUGAUUAGUGUUUUGUCUGUAUUAGUUGUCAUCUAUUACUACCUAGGGCAUUCCAAACUUGUGAUCUGGAGGAAAUUCUAUAGUUUUAGCCAUUUACUGCAACGUAUUGUGGAAGGUGAAUUUAUCAUUAAGGAAAAGCGAUGUGAUCUCUAAUUUGUUCUUCGCACAAAAACUGUUUAAAAUUA
Oryza brachyantha (malo sina) is the source of this 1927-nucleotide RNA transcript. It is a transcript of the gene named pentatricopeptide repeat-containing protein At1g55890, mitochondrial-like, with no coding region annotated. NCBI's taxonomy places the organism in Eukaryota, Viridiplantae, Streptophyta, Magnoliopsida, Poales, Poaceae. The transcript is spliced from 3 exons. The record is from RefSeq and is a predicted model, not a curated record.